Haliotis rubra (blacklip abalone) is the source of this 115-nucleotide long non-coding RNA. RefSeq lists it as uncharacterized. The transcript is spliced from 3 exons. The record is from RefSeq and is a predicted model, not a curated record. Lineage: Eukaryota; Metazoa; Mollusca; Gastropoda; Lepetellida; Haliotidae.
AUUACAAUAAAGUCUCACAUGUCUUAAGUACAUAGUUUUUACUUUUUAAAUAUUUGGACGAUGGCUGUCCUGAUUUAGUCACUAUAACAACUGCAUACAUAGUGAGUGAGUGAGU